GGGGCAUUAGCUCAGCUGGGAGAGCGCCACACUGGCAGUGUGGAGGUCAGCGGUUCGAGCCCGCUAUGCUCCA
RNAcentral lists this transfer RNA (73 nucleotides) under Aquibacillus halophilus. Its description in RNAcentral is "Virgibacillus sp. B6B(2010) tRNA". It matches the Rfam family "tRNA". Rfam says of the family: Transfer RNA (tRNA) molecules are approximately 80 nucleotides in length. Lineage: Bacteria; Bacillati; Bacillota; Bacilli; Caryophanales; Bacillaceae. The record is from Rfam by way of RNAcentral. RNAcentral also lists the same sequence under 6 other names.